This 2927-nucleotide ribosomal RNA is filed under the name Salmonella enterica subsp. enterica serovar Abony. RNAcentral's name for it is "23S ribosomal RNA". It matches the Rfam family "Bacterial large subunit ribosomal RNA". The record is from RNAcentral. Lineage: Bacteria; Pseudomonadati; Pseudomonadota; Gammaproteobacteria; Enterobacterales; Enterobacteriaceae.
GGGUUGUGAGGUUAAGCGACUAAGCGUACACGGUGGAUGCCCUGGCAGUCAGAGGCGAUGAAGGGCGUGCUAAUCUGCGAUAAGCGCCGGUAAGGUGAUAUGAACCGUUAUAACCGGCGAUACCCGAAUGGGGAAACCCAGUGUGACUCGUCACACUAUCAUUAACUGAAUCCAUAGGUUAAUGAGGCGAACCGGGGGAACUGAAACAUCUAAGUACCCCGAGGAAAAGAAAUCAACCGAGAUUCCCCCAGUAGCGGCGAGCGAACGGGGAGGAGCCCAGAGCCUGAAUCAGCAUGUGUGUUAGUGGAAGCGUCUGGAAAGGCGCGCGAUACAGGGUGACAGCCCCGUACACAAAAGCGCAUGUGCUGUGAGCUCGAUGAGUAGGGCGGGACACGUGGUAUCCUGUCUGAAUAUGGGGGGACCAUCCUCCAAGGCUAAAUACUCCUGACUGACCGAUAGUGAACCAGUACCGUGAGGGAAAGGCGAAAAGAACCCCGGCGAGGGGAGUGAAAAAGAACCUGAAACCGUGUACGUACAAGCAGUGGGAGCACCCUUUGGGGUGUGACUGCGUACCUUUUGUAUAAUGGGUCAGCGACUUAUAUUCUGUAGCAAGGUUAACCGUAUAGGGGAGCCGGAGGGAAACCGAGUCUUAAUUGGGCGUUAAGUUGCAGGGUAUAGACCCGAAACCCGGUGAUCUAGCCAUGGGCAGGUUGAAGGUUGGGUAACACUAACUGGAGGACCGAACCGACUAAUGUUGAAAAAUUAGCGGAUGACCUGUGGCUGGGGGUGAAAGGCCAAUCAAACCGGGAGAUAGCUGGUUCUCCCCGAAAGCUAUUUAGGUAGCGCCUCGUGAAUUCAUCUCCGGGGGUAGAGCACUGUUUCGGCUAGGGGGCCAUCCCGGCUUACCAACCCGAUGCAAACUGCGAAUACCGGAGAAUGUUAUCACGGGAGACACACGGCGGGUGCUAACGUCCGUCGUGAAGAGGGAAACAACCCAGACCGCCAGCUAAGGUCCCAAAGUCAUGGUUAAGUGGGAAACGAUGUGGGAAGGCCCAGACAGCCAGGAUGUUGGCUUAGAAGCAGCCAUCAUUUAAAGAAAGCGUAAUAGCUCACUGGUCGAGUCGGCCUGCGCGGAAGAUGUAACGGGGCUAAACCAUGCACCGAAGCUGCGGCAGCGACGCUUAUGCGUUGUUGGGUAGGGGAGCGUUCUGUAAGCCUGUGAAGGUGUGUCGUGAGGCAUGCUGGAGGUAUCAGAAGUGCGAAUGCUGACAUAAGUAACGAUAAAGCGGGUGAAAAGCCCGCUCGCCGGAAGACCAAGGGUUCCUGUCCAACGUUAAUCGGGGCAGGGUGAGUCGACCCCUAAGGCGAGGCCGAAAGGCGUAGUCGAUGGGAAACGGGUUAAUAUUCCCGUACUUGGUGUUACUGCGAAGGGGGGACGGAGAAGGCUAUGUUGGCCGGGCGACGGUUGUCCCGGUUUAAGCGUGUAGGUGUGUGUUCCAGGUAAAUCCGGUUCACUUUAACACUGAGGCGUGACGACGAGGCACUACGGUGCUGAAGCAACAAAUGCCCUGCUUCCAGGAAAAGCCUCUAAGCAUCAGGUAACAUCAAAUCGUACCCCAAACCGACACAGGUGGUCAGGUAGAGAAUACCAAGGCGCUUGAGAGAACUCGGGUGAAGGAACUAGGCAAAAUGGUGCCGUAACUUCGGGAGAAGGCACGCUGACACGUAGGUGAAGUGAUUUACUCAUGGAGCUGAAGUCAGUCGAAGAUACCAGCUGGCUGCAACUGUUUAUUAAAAACACAGCACUGUGCAAACACGAAAGUGGACGUAUACGGUGUGACGCCUGCCCGGUGCCGGAAGGUUAAUUGAUGGGGUCAGCGCAAGCGAAGCUCCUGAUCGAAGCCCCGGUAAACGGCGGCCGUAACUAUAACGGUCCUAAGGUAGCGAAAUUCCUUGUCGGGUAAGUUCCGACCUGCACGAAUGGCGUAAUGAUGGCCAGGCUGUCUCCACCCGAGACUCAGUGAAAUUGAACUCGCUGUGAAGAUGCAGUGUACCCGCGGCAAGACGGAAAGACCCCGUGAACCUUUACUAUAGCUUGACACUGAACAUUGAGCCUUGAUGUGUAGGAUAGGUGGGAGGCUUUGAAGCGUGGACGCCAGUCUGCGUGGAGCCGACCUUGAAAUACCACCCUUUAAUGUUUGAUGUUCUAACGUGGACCCGUAAUCCGGGUUGCGGACAGUGUCUGGUGGGUAGUUUGACUGGGGCGGUCUCCUCCUAAAGAGUAACGGAGGAGCACGAAGGUUGGCUAAUCCUGGUCGGACAUCAGGAGGUUAGUGCAAUGGCAUAAGCCAGCUUGACUGCGAGCGUGACGGCGCGAGCAGGUGCGAAAGCAGGUCAUAGUGAUCCGGUGGUUCUGAAUGGAAGGGCCAUCGCUCAACGGAUAAAAGGUACUCCGGGGAUAACAGGCUGAUACCGCCCAAGAGUUCAUAUCGACGGCGGUGUUUGGCACCUCGAUGUCGGCUCAUCACAUCCUGGGGCUGAAGUAGGUCCCAAGGGUAUGGCUGUUCGCCAUUUAAAGUGGUACGCGAGCUGGGUUUAGAACGUCGUGAGACAGUUCGGUCCCUAUCUGCCGUGGGCGCUGGAGAACUGAGGGGGGCUGCUCCUAGUACGAGAGGACCGGAGUGGACGCAUCACUGGUGUUCGGGUUGUCAUGCCAAUGGCACUGCCCGGUAGCUAAAUGCGGAAGAGAUAAGUGCUGAAAGCAUCUAAGCACGAAACUUGCCCCGAGAUGAGUUCUCCCUGAGACUUAGAGUCUCCUGAAGGAACGUUGAAGACGACGACGUUGAUAGGCCGGGUGUGUAAGCGCAGCGAUGCGUUGAGCUAACCGGUACUAAUGAACCGUGAGGCUUAACCUUACAACGCCGAAG